GUUGUUGUUAAAUCAUUAAUAAAAAUGAUAUAGUGAAAUUAUAAUUCACUGUUAACAGCCAAUCUGGUUAUAUUUUGUUAAAAUAGCUGAGAAACAAGGUUGAUAAGUUGUGCACUUACGAGGGAAUAUUUGGACCUCAUUGAAUACGUAUUCGUGUGACUUCCAAUUCAACCUCUUGCUGGAGAUGGGUUAUCGAUGUAUUUAAAAGCUAUUAAAGUUGUAAGGGUUUUGCAGAACAGAUAGCCUACUUUUGCUGUUAAUCGCAGGCUCAACAAAAAUGAGGGGAAAAUAUUAAAAUUUUAAUCUAGAUACUAUCUUUUGACUAGUACUGUAAGAAGCUUCUGUCAAAAUUGGGUAAAAAUCCAGGAUGGUUUAUAAAACCUAAUGUUUU
RNAcentral lists this long non-coding RNA (391 nucleotides) under Mytilus galloprovincialis (Mediterranean mussel). Lineage: Eukaryota; Metazoa; Mollusca; Bivalvia; Mytilida; Mytilidae. The record is from RNAcentral.